AGAGUUUGAUCCUGGCUCAGGAUGAACGCUAGCGACAGGCUUAACACAUGCAAGUCGAGGGGCAGCGGGGGCGAAGCUUGCUUCGCCUGCCGGCGACCGGCGCACGGGUGAGUAACACGUAUGCGACCUGCCCCCCGCGGGGGGAUAACCGGGAGAAAUCCCGACUAAUACCGCGUAACGCCGCUGGGCUGCAUGGCCCGGCGGCCAAAGGAAGCGAUUCCGGCGGGGGAUGGGCAUGCGGCGCAUUAGCUAGUCGGCGGGGUAACGGCCCACCGAGGCGACGAUGCGUAGGGGUUCUGAGAGGAAGGUCCCCCACACUGGUACUGAGACACGGACCAGACUCCUACGGGAGGCAGCAGUGAGGAAUAUUGGUCAAUGGGCGGGAGCCUGAACCAGCCAAGUCGCGUGAGGGAAGACGGUCCUACGGAUUGUAAACCUCUUUUGCCGGGGAGCAACGGGGUCCUUGCGAGGGCCCGAUGAGAGUACCCGGAGAAAAAGCAUCGGCUAACUCCGUGCCAGCAGCCGCGGUAAUACGGAGGAUGCGAGCGUUAUCCGGAUUUAUUGGGUUUAAAGGGUGCGUAGGCGGGCUGUUAAGUCAGCGGUCAAAUGUCGGGGCUCAACCCCGGCCUGCCGUUGAAACUGGCGGCCUCGAGUGGGCGAGAAGUAUGCGGAAUGCGUGGUGUAGCGGUGAAAUGCAUAGAUAUCACGCAGAACUCCGAUUGCGAAGGCAGCAUACCGGCGCCCGACUGACGCUGAGGCACGAAAGCGUGGGUAUCGAACAGGAUUAGAUACCCUGGUAGUCCACGCAGUAAACGAUGAAUGCUAGCUGUCCGGUUCUACGGGACUGGGUGGCACAGCGAAAGCGUUAAGCAUUCCACCUGGGGAGUACGCCGGCAACGGUGAAACUCAAAGGAAUUGACGGGGGCCCGCACAAGCGGAGGAACAUGUGGUUUAAUUCGAUGAUACGCGAGGAACCUUACCCGGGCUCAAACGCCAAAGGACAGCCGUUGAAAGGCGGCCUCCCUCCGGGGUCUUUGGCGAGGUGCUGCAUGGUUGUCGUCAGCUCGUGCCGUGAGGUGUCGGCUUAAGUGCCAUAACGAGCGCAACCCCCAUCGACAGUUGCUAACGGGUAGAGCCGAGGACUCUGUCGAGACUGCCGGCGCAAGCUGCGAGGAAGGCGGGGAUGACGUCAAAUCAGCACGGCCCUUACGUCCGGGGCGACACACGUGUUACAAUGGCCGGUACAGCGGGAUGCCAGGGCGCGAGCCCGAGCGGAACCCGAAAACCGGUCUCAGUUCGGAUUGGAGUCUGCAACCCGACUCCAUGAAGCUGGAUUCGCUAGUAAUCGCGCAUCAGCCACGGCGCGGUGAAUACGUUCCCGGGCCUUGCACUCACCGCCCGUCAAG
Molecule: ribosomal RNA, 1406 nt
Filed under: uncultured bacterium
Lineage: Bacteria
Description: bacterial SSU rRNA
Rfam family: Bacterial small subunit ribosomal RNA
Source: RNAcentral